This is a long non-coding RNA of Hibiscus syriacus, 306 nucleotides long. RefSeq lists it as uncharacterized. The record is from RefSeq and is a predicted model, not a curated record. The transcript is spliced from 2 exons. NCBI's taxonomy places the organism in Eukaryota, Viridiplantae, Streptophyta, Magnoliopsida, Malvales, Malvaceae.
UCUUCUGGUGUCCAUGGUCCUUUUUUCAUCCCCACUUUGUCACAGCAAGGUGAUCUCCCCAUUGGGUGUAUGCAAUAUAGUGAAAUUAAAUGAGCAAACAAAGAAGAUAAAGGUAUAUAAGAGAAUAUAAACUAUGGAAAAGUAGAACAUUCAGCCCCACCCUCUUUCUUCCUCACUUACCCAAAGAUGCAGAAAAAUUGCUUAAGCAACGUCAAAUCAAUAAUUCAAUCCUACAGUAAAGUGUUUCUUUGUGAAACAAGUUAACGAUAAGCAAUACCAAUGCAUUAGCCAUUAGGGUUUAUAUAU